Molecule: ribosomal RNA, 271 nt
Filed under: uncultured bacterium
Lineage: Bacteria
Description: partial 16S ribosomal RNA
Rfam family: Bacterial small subunit ribosomal RNA
Source: RNAcentral
GGCCCUACGGGACGCAGCAGUGAGGAAUAUUGGUCAAUGGGCGGAAGCCUGAACCAGCCAAGUCGCGUGAGGGAAUAAGGCCCUACGGGUCGUAAACCUCUUUUGCCGGGGAGCAAGGGCCGGGACGCGUCCCGGCCCGGAGAGUACCCGGAGAAAAAGCAUCGGCUAACUCCGUGCCAGCAGCCGCGGUAAUACGGAGGAUGGGGGGGUUAUCCGGAUUUAUUGGGUUUAAAGGGUGCGUAGGCGGGCUUUUAAGUUAGCGGUAAAAAUU